UAUCAAUAUCCGGAGGCAGAGGAACCAACAGGGACAGCGUUAGUAGCGGUGAGUGCAGSUGCAAGAGCAAAAGUUUAGAAUYGGGCUCGUUCUGUGUSCGAGUUGUAAUUUGAAGAAGGUAUCUUUGGGUCAYCCUCUUGUAUAUGUUUCUUGGAACAGAAGGUCACAGAGGGGGAGGAUCCCGUGCGAUGAGAUGCUCCAGGCCUAGAGGSCCUUWUUCAAGUCUAGAGUUUUUAAUGCAGCUCCAAAAUGUGGUAAAAAUUCCAAAGGGUAAUCCCUGGCGAAGGAGCGAUAAUGUACCAAAGUGUGAAGGUGGGGUGAAAAGCAGAACUUAAAAAGAAGAAAACAGCAGUACAAAUAAUUGAAAGAAAGGAAGAGCGCGCCCUACAAGGGGAUUUUGCGUAGGUUCCUUCUUCGGGGGUGGCCUCGACAGUUUAUCGGGCCAGCAUCAGUUUGGGCGGCAGGAGAAGUGCUUUGGGAACGGCCUCUUCUCGGUGUUAUGUCCUAGCCCAGUGGAUACUGCCAGCCUCGAGGGAUGCGCUGCGGUUUAUUCGUAGGAUGUGACAAAAUCCAGU
RNAcentral lists this ribosomal RNA (575 nucleotides) under Candida tropicalis. RNAcentral describes it as "eukaryotic LSU rRNA". It matches the Rfam family "Eukaryotic large subunit ribosomal RNA", at positions 41 to 496 of the family's 3401-position model. Lineage: Eukaryota; Fungi; Ascomycota; Pichiomycetes; Serinales; Debaryomycetaceae. The record is from RNAcentral.